Molecule: ribosomal RNA, 435 nt
Filed under: uncultured bacterium
Lineage: Bacteria
Description: bacterial SSU rRNA
Rfam family: Bacterial small subunit ribosomal RNA
Source: RNAcentral
AGAGUUUGAUCCUGGCUCAGAUUGAACGCUGGCGGCAUGCCUUACACAUGCAAGUCGAACGGCAGCACGGGGGCAACCCUGGUGGCGAGUGGCGAACGGGUGAGUAAUACAUCGGAACGUGUCCUGUAGUGGGGGAUAGCCCGGCGAAAGCCGGAUUAAUACCGCAUACGCUCUACGGAGGAAAGGGGGGGAUCUUAGGACCUCCCGCUACAGGGGCGGCCGAUGGCAGAUUAGCUAGUUGGUGGGGUAAAGGCCUACCAAGGCGACGAUCUGUAGCUGGUCUGAGAGGACGACCAGCCACACUGGGACUGAGACACGGCCCAGACUCCUACGGGAGGCAGCAGUGGGGAAUUUUGGACAAUGGGGGAAACCCUGAUCCAGCAAUGCCGCGUGUGUGAAGAAGGCCUUCGGGUUGUACAGCACUUUUGUCCGGAG